This is a long non-coding RNA of Cynoglossus semilaevis (tongue sole), 447 nucleotides long. RefSeq lists it as uncharacterized. The transcript has 4 exons. NCBI's taxonomy places the organism in Eukaryota, Metazoa, Chordata, Actinopteri, Pleuronectiformes, Cynoglossidae. The record is from RefSeq and is a predicted model, not a curated record.
CUGUGUUCUGGACUCAGUCCUUAUGAUGAGAGCCUUAGAUAAUCCCGGGUUGUCCCGGACUAUAAUCUGCCCACACGUCACGGUGUCUCCUUUCUCCUGCAGGAACAACUGUCUGAAGCUGGAAGGCCUAGAGUGUGACGUCACAGUUUUCGCAAUAACCGCGGACUCAGAAGAACAAGCGUCGGGUUCAGAUCGAGUUCUGCAGCAGGUCAAGAGUCUCCACCUCAGGUCUGUUCAUCCCCGAGGAUCAGAGUGAGUACAAACGGACAAAGCCUCCGCCGCUCGGUCCCGCUGUCGCCGGUUCUUGAACCAGUUGCUGACCUGAGUGGUGAUGGACCGGGGCAACGGGAACUUCCUGCGGACCCGGUACUUGCCCACGGCGCCCAGCGGGCGGCCCCGCAGCUUCUCCGCCUCGAUGUAGUGCGCCUUCAGCCACAGCUGCUGCAG